This is a long non-coding RNA of Paramisgurnus dabryanus, 952 nucleotides long. RefSeq lists it as uncharacterized. Lineage: Eukaryota; Metazoa; Chordata; Actinopteri; Cypriniformes; Cobitidae. The record is from RefSeq and is a predicted model, not a curated record.
GGAUUUCAAAGGCAGCAGGAUGAAAGAUAUGUGUCUGUGUUCAUCAAGACAUGAAGACUCUGGAGUGGGACAAGAGAAGGAUGAUGGGGUGUUAUUCCAAUAGACACAUUAAGUCACAUUGUGAUUUCAGUGAAAGCUGAUAAAUACAGAGGGCUGGACAGUGGUUUCAUUCAUUAGGUAAAGACGUGGGACAAGGAUGCUGACAGGACAGGAGGAGGUGACAUUCAGACAUUCAACGCAGACACUUUCAUCCAAAGCAACUUGAGGAAGAAAACAGAAGCAGUUCAUCCUAAAAGUGGGCUGCUGUAAUGUUUACAUCUAUGGAAAGAGGAGCUGAGAAGAAAAGAGACGCUGGAAAGCAGUACUUCUUGUUGAGGACAAUCCUGAAUAGGAACCCUUUCUCAUACACAUAGAUUAUUAUUAGUGUUUGAUUGUUUGUUUCAUUUUUAUGAAUUGUAUUGUUUUAAUUUUUCGUUUUAUUUUAAAUUACCUAAGUUAGAUUCAUGCUAAUACUUUAACUGGACCUUGUAUCUUUGCUGGCUGGCUGGCUGUAGAGUUGGUUUCACAUACACAUGAAGUUUCUAAUUAACUAACUUUUAAGUUCAGUUUGGUUUAAACUUGUAUUUACCCAUGGUAAUUCAUUUAAAUUUCUAUUCAUACUUAUAUAUUAAUUUCAAUGAACUUCUGUAUUUGUGUAUAGCUGGCAAUUUGGGCAAGCAACGUUUCACACACCAAUGUAACUGUCACAAAGGGUUUUUUUAUUAUCAGUUUGUUCUAAAUUUUUGUUUGUUUACUAAGGAUGAAAUUGCUUUGUAAUUUAAGUUGUUGGUAGAUUCAUGCCAAUAAUGUAUUUGAACAAACUAGUAUUUUUGUUUAUUGCUGGCAGUUUAUACUAGAAGAGUUUUAACACGUACAAUGUUGUAGUGUUAUUGACUUGUGUGUUAUUGAUUAA